RNAcentral lists this long non-coding RNA (470 nucleotides) under Sinocyclocheilus anshuiensis. Its description in RNAcentral is "lncRNA (ENSSANG00000012853.1)". Lineage: Eukaryota; Metazoa; Chordata; Actinopteri; Cypriniformes; Cyprinidae. The record is from RNAcentral.
AUUAUAAUGCCUGCGUCCCAAUGUGCAUACUAUCCAUCCUAAAUUCUAUGUGAUAUUAGUAAUUUUCAAUACUAUUUAGGGCAGAUAGGGUGGAUAGUAUGCACAUUGGGACGCAGGGAAUGAAUCAUUCUUUGGAAAUCUCUUCAGUGAAUCGAUCAAACGGCUCGGCAACCGGUUUGAAUCGUUUUCGCGAUUCAGCGUGAUUCAACUCGGACGGUUCACUCAAUCUUUUUGAAGCGGUUUGUCAGUCGGCAAACGUGAUAGGGAACUUCAAGAAGGAUAAAAACGCAUAUUGAACUUCUAUACAGUCUGCUUGAAAGCAAACCUGCAAGUUCUUGUUGUUUUUCCAGCGAUGAAGAUUCAUUAUGACCAACACGCGCACGUGCGUCCCGAGAACCCCUCUACUGCAGGAGUCUUCUGAGAAAACCAAUCCCAUCCGGAUAGGACUGUCUCUGAUUGCAGUGUUUUCA